CUGUUCGAGCGUCAUUACACCACUCAAGCCUCGCUUGGUAUUGGGCGCCGCGGUCCGCCGCGCGCCUCAAUGACCCCGGCUGGGUCCUCCGUCCCUCAGCGUUGUGCAAUCAAUCCGCUGGUAAGGGUACGGGUGGCGCACGCCGUUAAACCUCACACAAGGUUGACCUCGGAUCAGGUAGGGAUACCCGCUGAACUUAA
This 200-nucleotide unclassified non-coding RNA is filed under the name soil metagenome. RNAcentral describes it as "partial contains internal transcribed spacer 2 and large subunit ribosomal RNA". The record is from RNAcentral.